RNAcentral lists this transfer-messenger RNA (225 nucleotides) under Caldilineaceae bacterium. Its description in RNAcentral is "partial transfer-messenger RNA". It matches the Rfam family "transfer-messenger RNA", at positions 1 to 234 of the family's 374-position model. Rfam says of the family: Bacterial tmRNA, also known as 10Sa RNA or SsrA, is named for its dual tRNA and mRNA-like properties. Its role is to liberate the mRNA from a stalled ribosome. Lineage: Bacteria; Bacillati; Chloroflexota; Caldilineae; Caldilineales; Caldilineaceae. The record is from RNAcentral.
GGGGAUGAACGGCUUCGACGGGGCAGGCUGUUCCUUGACUGCAAGCCGUAGAGCGUCGGCUACGUUAAAAAGGCGCAACACAUAUAAAUGCCAAAUCAACAGGCAAGGUCUUCAACUUCGGUUUCGCCCAGGCCGCUCCGGCUGCCUUGGCUGCUUAAGUUAAGCAGACCAAUCCUGACCCUCUAAUGUAGGGUCACGGCCCGCUUCAGUGGCGCCUGCAGGCUG